RNAcentral lists this ribosomal RNA (497 nucleotides) under uncultured bacterium. RNAcentral's name for it is "partial 16S ribosomal RNA". It matches the Rfam family "Bacterial small subunit ribosomal RNA", at positions 28 to 507 of the family's 1533-position model. The record is from RNAcentral.
GAUGAACGCUGGCGGCGUGCCUAAUACAUGCAAGUCGAGCGAACGGACGAGAAGCUUGCUUUUCUGAUGUUAGCGGCGGACGGGUGAGUAACACGUGGAUAACCUACCUAUAAGACUGGGAUAACUUCGGGAAACCGGAGCUAAUACCGGAUAAUAUUUUGAACCGCAUGGUUCAAAAGUGAAAGACGGUCUUGCUGUCACUUAUAGAUGGAUCCGCGCUGCAUUAGCUAGUUGGUAAGGUAACGGCUUACCAAGGCAACGAUGCAUAGCCGACCUGAGAGGGUGAUCGGCCACACUGGAACUGAGACACGGUCCAGACUCCUACGGGAGGCAGCAGUAGGGAAUCUUCCGCAAUGGGCGAAAGCCUGACGGAGCAACGCCGCGUGAGUGAUGGAGGUCUUCGGAUCGUAAAACUCUGUUAUUAGGGAAGAACAUAUGUGUAAGUAACUGUGCACAUCUUGACGGUACCUAAUCAGAAAGCCACGGCUAACUACGUG